Molecule: ribosomal RNA, 239 nt
Filed under: uncultured bacterium
Lineage: Bacteria
Description: partial 16S ribosomal RNA
Rfam family: Bacterial small subunit ribosomal RNA
Source: RNAcentral
AGCGGCGGACGGGUGAGUAACGCGUGGGUAACUGCCUCAUACAGGGGGAUAACAGUUGGAAACGGCUGCUAAUACCGCAUAAGCGCACAGUACCGCAUGGUACGGUGUGAAAAACUCCGGUGGUAUGAGAUGGACCCGCGUCUGAUUAGGUAGUUGGUGGGGUAACGGCCUACCAAGCCGACGAUCAGUAGCCGACCUGAGAGGGUGACCGGCCACAUUGGGACUGAGACACGGCCCAG